CAGCAGCCGCGGGAAUACGGGGGGUGCAAGCGUUAAUCGGAAUUACUGGGCGUAAAGCGCACGCAGGCGGUCUGACAAGUCAGAUGUGAAAUCCCCGGGCUUAACCUGGGAACUGCAUUUGAAACUGUCAGGCUGGAGUCUUGUAGAGGGGGGUGGAAUUCCAGGUGUAGCGGUGAAAUGCGUAGAGAUCUGGAGGAAUACCGGUGGCGAAGGCGGCCCCCUGGACAAAGACUGACGCUCAGGUGCGAAAGCGUGGGGAGCAAACAGGAUUAGAUACCCCAGUAGUCCCUGUCUCUUAUAC
Molecule: ribosomal RNA, 301 nt
Filed under: uncultured bacterium
Lineage: Bacteria
Description: partial 16S ribosomal RNA
Rfam family: Bacterial small subunit ribosomal RNA
Source: RNAcentral